Molecule: unclassified non-coding RNA, 146 nt
Filed under: soil metagenome
Description: partial internal transcribed spacer 1
Source: RNAcentral
UAAUAAGUGUUUUAUGGCACUUUUUAAAUCCAUAUCCCACCUUGUGUGCAAUGUCAGUCGAUCUUCUUCAUGGAGAUCGACCAAACAUCAACCUUUAUCUUUUAACUCUUUGUCUGAAAAAUAUUAUGAAUAAACAAUUCAAAAUA